RNAcentral lists this transfer RNA (76 nucleotides) under Marmota monax (woodchuck). RNAcentral's name for it is "tRNA.Val". The record is from RNAcentral. Lineage: Eukaryota; Metazoa; Chordata; Mammalia; Rodentia; Sciuridae.
UUGGGGAUGUAGCUCAGUGGCAGAGAGUGCUUGACUAGCCUAUGUGAAGCCCUGGGUUCAAUUCCCAGUUUGCAAA